Molecule: long non-coding RNA, 5128 nt
Organism: Astatotilapia calliptera (eastern happy)
Lineage: Eukaryota; Metazoa; Chordata; Actinopteri; Cichliformes; Cichlidae
Source: Ensembl
CUUUUUUUGUGGUAUAGUUCUAUAAAAAUGGAACGUGGCCGCCGCACCAUCACCUGUUGGUUUGUGGCGUCCUAAUAUGAAGACUCAGGUUGGGCAUUUUCCACUUUGUGUUUCGAAGCCGCUUCCUCACUGACCAACAACAUGUCCCCAAAACAUCUGUUUCUUGGAGCUGCCAUCACUUAAGAAAUGGGCCUGAAUGUCUUGGCCCAACUGGAGUCGAUGGCUGUUUUGAUGGAGGUCGCCGCCAUGAUGUCACCUGUUGGUUUCUGAAGUCACGUUUUGAACUUUUAUGAGGCGCCUGAUGGCAGCAAGCAACUCUUAAUAUAUGCAAAACAAACCAAAGUACACAAAUCUCCAGUAAAGCUCUUUUUUAUCUACUUGGUUCAGAUGAAAGGUGUUUGAAACGAAGCCAUCAGCAUUUUUACUGUUAAAACAAUCCAGCUGUUCUCUUUCUUUCUUUGUGCUCCACUUUAACGCUCAUCCAGCAGAUGAGCCUCCUCUGGUGUUAGAUUUAGAUCUGGGCCAAAGGAGAGGCUCAUAAUCACAUUUAUGUGAAAAUUAUCACAAGUUACUGCCUCGGGGUCCGGCCAGAAGGCCACAGUCAUUACACAUUUGUGAGGCAGUUAAUAUCUUCUUGUUUUACUGCCGCCGUUUCUUCCACUGGCUCGCCGGCGGUGUUAGAGACUCCGUUUGUCUCUGUGCCUUGAAUGAAAAGUGUGAAAAUAUUCAGCAGCAUUUUGUUCUCGUUUGUUCCAGAAACGUCCCAGCUGUCCCCGAGCUGGUGCUCAUGCGUCUGAGUCUGGAGCGUCUGGAGCCGCAGGCCGACCAAUCAGAAGCUGAACGAUUAGUUCAGUUGUUUUUCUCUAAGGUUGAAUCAUAUUUAACAUCAGCACUUCUUAACGGUAGGACUCGGUCACACAGACCGGUCUGCAAACAUCUGGCAGCCGCCGGCCGUUGCAGCGGUUGCCCAUAGUUUAUUUGGGUGACACCAACCAAAGCAAGCGGGUGGAGGUUAUUGGUACAGCACCAUCCUCCAGCAGCUUCCAGCAACCGUCACCAACCAGGGCACAAACAUCCCAGCGCUGCUGUGGCUCCACAGGACGUCAGCAGCAGGUGUAGAUGCUGCUUCCUGUUACCAGACAGAACUGGCUCUGGUUCGGCCUUCAGGGGAGGACUGCAGAGGAACUCUCAGAUCUGAGUGGAUGAGACUGCAUGAUUUAUUCAGACUCUCCAAACAGCUUCUGUUCAGACAGUUAAUGAACUUAGCAGCGUUUAUGCUUUUAGCUGAUGAUGGCGGUGUUUUCUUACUGUUCCAGCUCGUGAAGCACCGACACACUCGUGUGCUUUAUCGUCAGGGUAACACGAUGCUGAAAAGCCCUUCUGGUUAUGUGUAAUUUCCCAGCAUGCAUUACACAUGGCCGGGAAAGCCUGGGCAGCUCACGGCGAUCGUGUUGAGCAGAGUAAGAUGAUCCCUCGAGCUGCGUCCGGCGAGCUGAUUGUGUUUGUCUGAUUGGAUUGGUGUCCUGGACGGGAUUAGGGAUGUCCGAGCUGAUAACCAGGAGUGGCGGUGAUGUCUGCUGUCCGCUUCCUCUCCGUCUGUAGCUCUCUUCCUCGCUAUCAAGGCCUUUCUAUCUCUGUCCUCUCCCCGUCUCAUUUCACCCUCCACUGCAUACAUUGCACCGCCUCUUCAGUUUAGAUAGAAGAAGAGUUUGUGGGUAACAAGCCUUUGACUUUUCACCCUCUUCACUCUGCGGUUUCUUUCAACCUGCCAUAUUUGCUAUUUAUUAACCCCAAUUAAAUGAUAAAACUUCUCAGGUAGUCACUGCUCCGUCUUCUCAUUCGGCUCUGACUGAAACCAAAAGAUCUUUUUAGUGUUUUCCUUCUGUAAGUCCUUUAACCUCAGCUUCCACCUGUGUGCUUUUUCUCAGGCGGGACUCUUUUUCAUGACUAAAGAUGGGAAGUGAUCAGAGCCACGAGAGGAAGGCUGAGGAGGCCGAGAAGGAAACUGAAAAACACGAGCAGUGUGACACAACUGAGGACGCGACUCCUGAAGAGGUGCCAGGAGAGCUGCCCCAGUGCAGGAUGGGAAACAGGAGGGUGGACAGCAUGUGUUUCAUGAUCUCGUGCACUAACUGGUACUGAACUGGUCCCCGUGUGUUGGGCUCGUGAUGAAACAGACGCACACUGGAGGAUCUGUCUGCGUCUGUGCUGCUACAACAACAAAUGCACCGGACUUCACUUUCCUUCAACUCGAAAACAAGACUAAUGAUAAGAGGAAGGGAUGGAAAAGGAUUUCAAACGAUGGGUCACAAGAGUCGUGGACUGUGUGGGAGAUGCUUGGAUUUCUGGUCAUGCCAAUAAAGACUGAACAAAAGUAAAGAAGUGUUGCUCGUCAUGCUCUGUGGGUCAGAGAGACGCGAGAGCUGAACUAAGGUUGCUCACUUCAGCUGUUGAUGUUCAAAAAGAAUUAGACUAGAAAGGAAAGGAAAGGAGGAUGGAAGAGGGAAAGGAAGGAAAGAAGGAGAUUGGGAAAGGGAAGGAAGUAAGGAAAGGAGAAGGAGGCAUAAAAAGGAAGAAAGCUGACAACGGAAGGAAAGGAAGGAAGAAAACGAAAGAAGAAAGGGGGUUAGGGAAGAGGCAGGAAGGAAGGGAAAACGGAUGACAGAAAGAGAGGAAAGGAAGGAAGAAAGGAAAGGAAAUGAGAGUACCUAAGGAAGGAAUGAAACGGGAAGAAGAAGACUAAGAAGGAAAGGGAACAAAGAAGCAGGUAGGAACAAAGGAAGGAAAGAAGGAUGAAAUAAGGAUAGCAAAGGAGAAGUAAGGAAUGAGACCAGAAAGGGCAAAUGAAUUAAGGAGUGAAGGAGGAAAGGGAAAAUCAAAGAAGGGAGCAAAUAUGAAAGGAAGUAAAGAAGGAAGAAAAGAAGGGAACAAAGAAAAGGAGACCUUUGGGUCUAAUUUGUUUCACUCAGAGCUGUAAAAAUGCAAACACACUGCAGCGUGUUCAGAGUUCAGCAGGAACGACAUUAAUCAGCAGACCUAAAGACGUUUCAGUUGAAGACGUGAUGGAUUCAUCAGGAACAUCAUUAUUCAAGUCUGUGAUAAGAUUAAUGCUGCAUAUCUGACACUUACUGUCUCAUAAUUAUGAGAAAGUCUUCAGGUGGUUAUAAAUCAUCUGUGCUUGAGAGGACGGGGCGCCGAAUGAUUUAAGUUUAAUGAAUAUGAGCUCGGGUUCUAACACAAGUGGCUCCUUUUUCCUUUUUUUCAACAAAGUCGUUCGGAGAACGUCACAAAAGCCCCGACUGGUGUGAACAGACGGGGAAUUUUACAGGAAACAAGACGGAUGACGUCCCAGCCGGAGACAACAUGAGCCUCAGUUUGGUUAUUAUAUCAGAUAUUACAGCUCGACUGAAAUAGUAAAGGAAAUAAAGAAGGAAACAAUAAGGAAGAAAAGAGGGGAAAAGGAAGCAGAAGGAAGAAUGACAGAAGUAGAAAGGAAGGAAAUAUGAAAAGGAAAGGGUAUGAGGAUGAAGAAGUUGAAAAGGGAACAACAAAUGGAAAGGAACAAAUGAAAAAGGAAAGGAAGCAAGGAAUUAAGAAUCAGUGAUGGAAAUAAAGAAGUAUGGAAGGAAAGAAAGGAUGAAGGAAAGACAUUAGAGAAGAUGAUGGAAGGGAGGAAGAAAAGGAAACGAAUGAACAAACUUAAACUGUAGUUCCUCCUGUGACCACUUGAGGCUCCAGCAGUGACUCAGUGCCUGUAAACUCUGUGCUAUGGAUCGAUUCCUCCUUCCUAACCCUGCACGGGGUUUACAGGCUUUAUAACCCACCCAGCUGAUGGGUCCAGUCUGUGUCAGAAAGCAGGAAUCAGGACUAGAAGAUAAGCCUGGUAUUAAAAUGUCCUUUCAUGCGCUUUAACUCGUCCUGAGCAGCCGCCUACAGUGUCUCACAUGGUGGUAGAACUUUUAAAGUUUACCCAGAAUGCACUUUUUUGGUUUCCUCUGCUGAACUAUGAGAAAUCAGAUCAAUAACGUAGCAACGCGUGCUUCUGUGUCUCUACAUCACAGACAUUACGACAGGAAGACGCCCUUUUCACGUGUCACGGUUCUGGUACAAAUAACAGAAAUGUGAAUUUUGCACAAAUAUAAGCUAACAAUAACUUUGAUAACGCUCAUGUUGGGCAGACUUACUCACUACUUCCUCUUGUGGUCCAAAAUGGCAUUACACCAGAGAAUCCUGGUGCUGUUUUAACUUUGGGGAUCUGUUUUAGACAGAACAUCAUGGAUGUUGCUUCUUCACGUUCUCCUGGUGGGUUCAGUUAAUUUUACAAUUAAAGAAACAUCUUUUCAUUUGACCUUCAAGAUGAGAAAAAUAGCAGCUGUUCAGUGAGGCAGGAGGACAGAGCGUAAGUCUUUCCAUAGCAGAGUGUGGACGCGUGUCCUUGUGAGACGUUAGCAGGUCGACUCCUCAAAAACCUCCGAGGGGAACCCUUAACUUGCUAAAUGGUGAUGCACUGACCCAUUUCGAGCAAUUACAGUUUCAGCCAUAAAGCGUAUGAAGUCAAAAGCAUAUGAACGACCCAAUGAUCCAUUUGGACGUAAUAAAAGAAGUCAAAUUUUCUCCAAAUGACACAUUAAAUCUCCAUGAAAUUAAAACGGAGUUGGAAGGCAUCAGUGUCUGAGCUCGUCUGCUCCGUCACAUUACUGGGCAGGUGGCUGAACAUAUUGCAUUUCAUCAGAAGAGCAGCAUACGUGUCCCUAAAGGGGCAUUUCUGCAAAAUACCACAAGGCAGAUUUAUGAUGCACAUCUGUUAGAUUUUUCCUGCUCGUGUUGCAGAUGCUCCGGAGCAGUUAACGAACCUGCGAAAAAUUCAUCCCCGAUCAGGACUAUUAAAAAAAAAAUGAAAUGUGCAGAUUAAUGCAUGUACAGAAAACACAGGGAAAAUGCUUGUUUUCCUUUUUAGAUCAAUAAAAAUAUGUCUGUUAUGCAGCAGCUGUCUGACACAGUCGUGAUGAAGCAGGGAAACGGCAUUAAAGCGAACACAGAAAGAUCAAAAGUUAGAUUAACGACGUUCCUGAUAUACAGAAGGAAAAGGAGCACAGCAGGAAAAAAUUAAAUGAUGCCCUCAAACAGC